CCGCACCAGCCAGCAGCCACCCAGCGCCGCAGACGCCCGGUUUUCGGCAGGGUCCUGCCCGCCGGUGCUGCGGGGAACCCGGGGAAGGUUCUGGGGAAAGGGCAGCAGGACCUCGUCCUGUAUCCCCGCGGGGAUGUGCCCGGCCUGCGCUCAAAACCCUCCGUCGGCUGCUUUGUGUCACCAAAGCCAUGAUCACCUCGGUUUCGGCCCAUCCUUAUCUUCACACCUCAUGGGACCGUGAGGGUUAUGGGGUGUGGGGGCCAGAAUGAAGCUGGAAAGGAGCAGCCCAGUCCCAUGGGAUGCCGCGUCUCAUAGGGACGGUCUGAGCCCCGCAGCAGCCACGCUUGCAGCUCGGAGUCAGCUCUCCAGAAAAGGCGGUGAUUUUUCUGCUGCAAACCCAAGCGCCCCGGAGGAACGAGAUCGGGAGAUGUCACAGUGAGGAGGGGACAAGGAGACAGGCAGUGGAGCAGCCAGGAGAUGACCUGGAUGCUGUGAUUUGGGGAGGACACCCUGAAAGACGAAGCCUGUGAUUUCCUCCAGCUCUCCACCAGAGCAAUCCCUGGCCGCUCGGUGGAUUGCCUCGGGGACAAGGGCCUGGUCCUGCCCUUCCCUUCCCCAGAACAACCCCAGUGGGGACACAAAACUCCCCAGGCAGGGCCGCAAGGCUCCGGUGAUGGGUGGCACCAGCCCUGGGCACCGACCUCAUGCAUCCCUCGGGCUCCCUUGGGCGCACACAAAAAAUUCCCUCCUGUGCCCACGGUCAGCCCGGCCUCGCGGAGGCUUUCAGGAGCAGAGGAGGCAGCCACAGCACCCGACCCAACGGCUGUGCCAUCUCCAACCAUCACCUCCCUCGUGCCAGGUCCCCGUGGGGACGGAGCGGAGCUGGUGUCCCCGUUGGUGGCAGGAGCUGCGCGGCCGGGGCCGGGCGCUUUCUGCGCACCGAGGGGUUUUCAUUUGGCCUCCAGGCUGCUCUGGGCGUGCCUCGCUUGCACAACUCGCCCGAGCUGCUGGCUGCUACCAGAACACAGCACCCGGUAAAUAAAUAAGCACUCAUCCUGCACCCCGCUUUCCCCGGUGGCACGGAGAGAGCUCAGAGACUCAGGGGGAUCAGGGCUCCUGGCAGCAAUGGGGCUGGGGGCACACGGAGCCCUAAAAAAACUCCUCGGUGCCAUUCCCGCUGUGGGACGUCCCUUGAAAAUGCCCCAAAUGGGUCAAAAGGCAGAUAUGGAGGCUAUAAGGACGCGGUGUGUGUGGUGGGGCUGUGCCCGAGGAUGCUUGCAGAGCAUGCACCGGACGGGGGGGCUCCUCGGGGGGGAUGCUCGUGGCCGGAGCUGCGCCACGGUGGGUUCAUGGUGCUGAGCCAGGCCAAGUGCUGAGCAGCACAGAAGCAGCGGGGGACCGGGAUUUUUUAAUUUUGUUCUCCCGCAAAACUGCCAGCCCCCGCGGCGGGGGCCUGCGGGCCAACAAAAGGCGCUGGCUCUGCCCCAGCCACCGGUGGGGAGCCUCCCCGGCCAGGAGGCAUUCACGGGGGGGGGGCAGAAUUUUGCCUUCAUCUGCCAGCCAGGAGAGCUACUUGUGGUGGGAAGAGCCCAGCACCGGGUCUGUGCUGAGCCCCGGGCUGCUGCAUCGCCCUGCCAAGGGGCCCCCCGGGCACCCACCCGGGGCGCAGCCUCUCGGCUUCACCAGCGCCGCCGGUGCCGUGCAGGAAAAUAGCUGAGCGCGGGGCCUGGCAGCGCCGUGAUGGCUAACAGAUGUGGGAGCGGGCUGCUACGGUGUGUGAGAAAUCAAGGACCGAGGGAGGAGAAAGCUGCAGAAAUGGAGAGGCACAACCACUUUCAGACCCACUUGGUGCAUCCAGAACCGUGACCCCGCAGCUCCCCCGCUGCAGCCACAGAGGUGCUAACAUCGCUCGCCUGCCGUACCAGGUUACGCAUUCUCCCAGCAGGGCACUGGGCAUGUGUAGCUAAUUAACGCUAACGAGACUCAUGCAGCACCAACCCGGGCAGCAGCACCCGCCUGCGACUGCGAAGCCCCACUGAAAACUCUGCUCUGACUACAAAGUGGUUUUCCCCGGGUGGGGCACGGGUGCCCUGCCCGUCCCAGCAUGGAUAGCGCCCGGGGAGUUUUGCACGGUGCUUAGAAAAUAAAAAUAAUCAGCGAUG
Long non-coding RNA from Cygnus olor (mute swan), 2162 nucleotides. RefSeq lists it as uncharacterized. Lineage: Eukaryota; Metazoa; Chordata; Aves; Anseriformes; Anatidae. The record is from RefSeq and is a predicted model, not a curated record. The transcript has 2 exons.